Molecule: ribosomal RNA, 519 nt
Filed under: Panthera onca (jaguar)
Lineage: Eukaryota; Metazoa; Chordata; Mammalia; Carnivora; Felidae
Description: partial 16S ribosomal RNA
Rfam family: Bacterial large subunit ribosomal RNA
Source: RNAcentral
UGCCUGUUUACCAAAAACAUCACCUCUAGCAUUUCCAGUAUUAGAGGCACUGCCUGCCCAGUGACAUCAGUUAAACGGCCGCGGUAUCCUGACCGUGCAAAGGUAGCAUAAUCAUUUGUUCCUUAAAUAGGGACUUGUAUGAAUGGCCACACGAGGGCUUUACUGUCUCUUACUUCCAAUCCGUGAAAUUGACCUUCCCGUGAAGAGGCGGGAAUAUGACAAUAAGACGAGAAGACCCUAUGGAGCUUUAAUUAACCGACCCAAAGAGAUCUUGAUAAUCAACCGACAGGGAUAACAUACCUCUACCAUGGGCCGACAAUUUAGGUUGGGGUGACCUCGGAGAAUAAAACAACCUCCGAGUGAUUUAAAUCUAGACUAACUAGUCGAAAGUACUACAUCACUUAUUGAUCCAAAAACUUGAUCAACGGAACAAGUUACCCUAGGGAUAACAGCGCAAUCCUAUUUUAGAGUCCAUAUCGACAAUAGGAUUGCGCUGUUAUCCCUAGGGUAACUUGUUCC